UACGUAGGGACCAAGCGUUGUUCGGAUUUACUGGGCGUAAAGGGCGCGUAGGCGGCAAUUCAAGUCAUCUGUGAAAUCUUCGGGCUUAACUCGGAACGGUCAGAUGAUACUGUUUUGCUAGAGUGCAGAAGGGGCAAUCGGAAUUCUUGGUGUAGCGGUGAAAUGCGUAGAUAUCAAGAGGAACACCUGAGGUGAAGACGGGUUGCUGGGCUGACACUGACGCUGAUGCGCGAAAGCCAGGGGAGCAAACGGG
Molecule: ribosomal RNA, 253 nt
Filed under: uncultured bacterium
Lineage: Bacteria
Description: partial 16S ribosomal RNA
Rfam family: Bacterial small subunit ribosomal RNA
Source: RNAcentral